AAGUGGAUUAGUGGCGCACGGGUGAGUAACGCAUAGGUAAUGUGCCCCAUAGUCUGGGAUAGCCACUGGAAACGGUGAUUAAUACUGGAUACUCCCUACGGGGGAAAGUUGGCUUUCAAUAAAGAAUUCAUUUAUUAUUAGUUUUUUUGUGUUCUUAGCACAAAAUUCUAGUAUUUGGAAUGAGAAAUUGAUGUUGUGAAGCAAUUUGUGCGGAGACUAGACUUAGUGUCUGUCGCACAAACAAAUUGCAAACUCAUCAAUUUAUCGUCCAAAGACGAAUUUUUUAUUGAAAGCCUUCGCUAUGGGAUCAGCCUAUGUCCUAUCAGCUUGUUGGUGAGGUAAUGGCUCACCAAGGCUAUGACGGGUAUCCGGCCUGAGAGGGUGAUCGGACACACUGGAACUGAGACACGGUCCAGACUCCUACGGGAGGCAGCAGUAGGGAAUAUUGCUCAAUGGGGGAAACCCUGAAGCAGCAACGCCGCGUGGAGGAUGAAGGUUUUAGGAUUGUAAACUCCUUUUGUGAGAGAAGAUU
RNAcentral lists this ribosomal RNA (532 nucleotides) under uncultured Helicobacter sp. RNAcentral's name for it is "bacterial SSU rRNA". It matches the Rfam family "Bacterial small subunit ribosomal RNA", at positions 85 to 450 of the family's 1533-position model. The record is from RNAcentral. Lineage: Bacteria; Pseudomonadati; Campylobacterota; Epsilonproteobacteria; Campylobacterales; Helicobacteraceae.